This is a long non-coding RNA of Triticum aestivum (bread wheat), 538 nucleotides long. RefSeq lists it as uncharacterized. The record is from RefSeq and is a predicted model, not a curated record. The transcript has 4 exons. Lineage: Eukaryota; Viridiplantae; Streptophyta; Magnoliopsida; Poales; Poaceae.
GAACCUGAACAUUGAAAGUGGCACUUGCAAAACACAAAUUUUCAGUUUUGAUUGAUACUUUAUGAAAGAAUAUGUUGGCGGACAUGGCAAUACAGUUUCAUAUCGAAAACCACUCCAAUUGAAGUAUUUGUGGUUCAUGUACACUAUUGUUUGAUAAAUUGGUGGCAAAUAGUUGUGUGAGCUUCAUUUGGUCAGGUUGUUUCGACUGCAUGAUGCAUGAGACAUGGAUUCCUAAGGAUUGUUCAAGUGCAUUCAGUGUUAACGGAUGGAACACAGAUUAGCCUUGGCCACAAUGAGCAGAAGGAGUACAAUAUGGGUGACUGCAGGUACGUCCCCAGGGACACCGCUACGUGACUGUUGAAGGAAUCACAGUUGUGCUGGAAGGUCCUGCCUUCCUGCUUGCUGUGUCUGCCUUCUCAUCUUAUUUUAUGAUCGUUUAUGUGAAGAAGCAGCAGCAACUUGAUUUGUUUUCUUGCGUAGUAAUAUGUGAGCUGCAUUUGCAGACAUAUAUGGGUCAAGUCACUCUUUGUUAGUUAGA